This is a long non-coding RNA of Beta vulgaris subsp. vulgaris (sugar beet), 345 nucleotides long. RefSeq lists it as uncharacterized. NCBI's taxonomy places the organism in Eukaryota, Viridiplantae, Streptophyta, Magnoliopsida, Caryophyllales, Amaranthaceae. The record is from RefSeq and is a predicted model, not a curated record. The transcript has 3 exons.
UUUACGUUAUGUGCAUUAAUAUGAAACAAAACUUUGGACAUCUUGGAUAAUAGAAUACUUGAAGAUGGGGUACCCCUUGAAAGCAAGUAUCGUGAUUAUCCUCGGAAAGUGCUGGAAGCAUUUUCAUUGUUCCUCCACCGUGCGGAAUACAAGUGUUAUAGGCAUGUAGCUAAAUUCAAGAUACGGUUAAUAGAAAUGCCUUGGAGAUCCAACAUGAACAUUGUUGAUUGUGGUGUAUAUGCAAUGAGACAUAUGGAAACCUACCAUGCACAAAACAACUGGGAUUGUGGACUAUACUCAGAUAAUUUUGAAGGUUUGAAGAAGCUAAGGAUACAAUACUGCAUU